This 651-nucleotide ribosomal RNA is filed under the name uncultured Methanosaeta sp. RNAcentral describes it as "bacterial SSU rRNA". It matches the Rfam family "Archaeal small subunit ribosomal RNA", at positions 1 to 662 of the family's 1478-position model. Lineage: Archaea; Methanobacteriati; Methanobacteriota; Methanomicrobia; Methanotrichales; Methanotrichaceae. The record is from RNAcentral.
UUCCGGUUGAUCCCGGCGGAGGUUACUGCUAUCGAGGUUCGACUAAGCCAUGCGAGUCGAAUGUAGCAAUACAUGGCGUACUGCUCAGUAACACGUGGACAACCACCCUUAGGUCGGGGAUAAACCCGGGAAACUGGGUAUAAUACCCGAUAGUCCUCGAAUGCUGGAAUGCAUCGAGGUCUAAAGCUCCGGCGCCUAAGGAUGGGUCUGCGGCCUAUCAGGUAGUAGUGGGUGUAGCGUACCUACUAGCCUACGACGGGUACGGGUUGUGAGAGCAAGCGCCCGGAGAUGGAUUCUGAGACACGAAUCCAGGCCCUACGGGGUGCAGCAGGCGCGAAAACUUUACAAUGCUGGCAACAGCGAUAAGGGGACCUCGAGUGACAGGUUACAAAUCUGGCUGUCGUGAUGCCUAAAAAGCAUUGCAUAGCAAGGGCCGGGCAAGACCGGUGCCAGCCGCCGCGGUAACACCGGCGGCUCGAGUGGUAACCGUUAUUAUUGGGUCUAAAGGGUCUGUAGCCGGCCGGAUAAGUCCCUUGGGAAAUCUGGCAGCUUAACUGUCAGGCUUUCAGGAGAUACUGUCUGGCUCGAGGCCGGGAGAGGUGAGAGGUACUUCAGGGGUAGGGGGAAAUCUUGUCUCCUGAAGGACCACCA